This 558-nucleotide long non-coding RNA is filed under the name Haliotis rubra (blacklip abalone). RNAcentral's name for it is "uncharacterized LOC124282470, transcript variant X2". The record is from RNAcentral. Lineage: Eukaryota; Metazoa; Mollusca; Gastropoda; Lepetellida; Haliotidae.
CACCGAGCCUGCCGAUCCAAGUGCUGUCAUCCACUCACACCUGUAACGAGCGGUCUCUAGCCAGGUGUAUCUGUUUGACCGUCAGUAGCUGAUUCUCGUGGUCAGUGUUUGGAUGUAUUGUCAAGGGACGCUAGCGUAAUCGUGCGGCUGUGUGUGACUCGGUUUUGUAUCAGUGGAUGGACAUUUAGCAGAGUAGGCAGGUUUAGAUACUGCAUUUUGUCAUCCCUUGAAAGUGACAUCACCACCAGCCUUUCACGGGGAUUAACUUUACGUGGUGUCCCUGUGCCUCUGACUUUUCCAUGUGGGGAAGUACCAUUGGAUUGUACCUGUAUUUGCAUAUCGGAGGCUGAGAGACAUUCUUGAAGGCCAGCUCACUGAGAUUGUUCUCAGAACCAGCAGGAUAUUGACAUCUUCCAAACAGGAUUAGACAAAGCAGUUUGUAGGUUAUGAACAUGACAACACAGGAAGAUUAAGUGCAAAUCUGGUUUUGCACGUGGUAGCUAAAGAGACGAUCGGAUAACUCAAGAGUUAACAUCAAUCUGGACCUGGAAACUAAGG